CACAAUUUAAUAUAUUUAAAAUUCAAGCUGUAGCACAACAAAAUGUGGAAAAAGUCAUGUGAAUCAUUUCUGUAUACAGGGAUUAACAAGUAGAGUGAAAAUGACAACUUAUCAUGCAUCGAUGCAACGCCAGAACAACAAAACUAGAUAUGCUAAAGACAAUUUCCCAACAGACAACACACACACUGGAUAGACCCUUCAUGCAUCACAUGAUAAUAACAAUCAAUGAAGAGAUAUUUAAUCGUAUCUACCCCAACACAUACAACAUGACCACAAUAACUUACAGUACGUACCAGAUUUAAGACCUGCAAAAUGGUCGGUGAAUAUUGAGUAUGAUUUUCUCUGUGUGCCUGGGAAAACACGUUCAGCUCUCGGCUCUUGACGUUAAAAAUAAUUUAAUUAGAAGAAUUUGACAUCAUUGACAUUUCAACAAUCUUGGCCUUGUCUCUGUCUGUCCUGUCCCCUCAGUAGCCAUGAUGGUUCAAACAGACCCUCGGCAGCCAUGAUGGAUCAGACAGGCCCUCUGUAACCAUGAUGGUUCAGACAGGCCCUCGGCAGCCAUGAUGGAUCAAACAGGCCCUUGGCAGCCAUGAUGGUUCAGACAGACCCUCAGUAGCCAUGAUGGUUCAGACAGACCCUCAGUAGCCAUGAUGGUUCAGACAGACCCUCGGCAGCCAUGAUGGAUCAGACAGGCCCUCGGCAGCCAUGAUGGUUCAGACAGACCCUCGGCAGCCAUGAUGGUUCAAACAGGCCCUCUGUAACCAUGAUGGUUCAGACAGGCCCUCUGUAGCCAUGAUGGUUCAGACAGACCCUCGGCAGCCAUGAUGGUUCAGACAGACCCUCAGUAGCCAUGAUGGUUCAGACAAGCCCUCGGCAGCCAUGAUGGUUCAGAGAGACCCUCUGUAGCCAUGAUGGUUCAGACAAGCCCUCGGCAGCCAUGAUGGUUCAGACAGGCCCUCAGUAGCCAUGAUGAUUCAGACAGGCCCUCGGUGGUACAAACAACCUCUUCUUCAUUUCUUCUUCUUAGAGAGAGUGUUGAGCCAGGAGGAAGAGAAGCUGAGACGAGGGGUCUCAUUGGAGGAAGGCGAGGAGGGGGAGGAGUGGGAGGAGGGACCACCUGCCUGUGGUGUGGGGUUCUCUGGCCAAGGCUCAAUCUGGACAGAGAAAGGAGAUGGACAGAUGCCUUCAAAUGCAAGGUACUACAGAUAAGGAAGCCUCAUCUGUUUAGGCCAAUAAGCUACUGAGAAGGUCACGUAGGCUAUUCAAGAGAGCACACCAAGAAUGCAUUAUAUGGAGACACAGAGAGAUGCUUACCUGGAAUCAUUCACGUUUUGUUGGAAAAACUUGUCAAUAAUCAACUGACUGGCUUUCUUUGAUGUCUACAUUAUUCUCUCUGGUAUGCAAUCUGGUUUCUGCUCAGGUUAAGGAUGUGUCACUGCAACCUUAAAAGGUCCUCAAUGAUGUCACCAUUGCCCUUGAUUCUAAGCAAUAUUGUGCUGCUAUUUUUAUUGACUUGGCCGAAGCUUUCGAUACGGUAGACCAUUCCAUUCUUGUGGGCUGUCUAAGGAGUAUUAGUGUCUCUGAGGGGUCUUUGGUCUGGUUUGCUAACUACCUCUCUCAAAGAGUGCAGUGUACAAAGUCAGAAAAUCUGUUGUCUCAGCUGCUGCCUGUCACCAAGGGAGUACCCCAAGGCUCGAUACUAGGCCCCACUCUCUUCUCAAUUUACAUCAACAACAUAGCUCAGGCAGUAGGAGGCUCUCUCUCUCAUCCAUUUAUAUGCAGAUGAUACAGUCUAUUACUCAGCUGGUCCCACCCCGGAUUUUGUGUUAAAUGCUCUACAACAAAGCUUUCUUAGUGUCCAACAAGCUUUCUCUACCCUUAACCUUGUUGUGAACACCUCCAAAACAAAGGUCAUGUGGUUUGGUAAGAAGAAUGCCCCUCUCCCCACAGGUGUUAUUACUACCUCCUGGGGGUUUAGAGCUUGAUGUAGUCACCUCAUACAAG
Oncorhynchus tshawytscha (Chinook salmon) is the source of this 2004-nucleotide long non-coding RNA. Lineage: Eukaryota; Metazoa; Chordata; Actinopteri; Salmoniformes; Salmonidae. The record is from Ensembl.